RNAcentral lists this ribosomal RNA (500 nucleotides) under uncultured bacterium. RNAcentral's name for it is "bacterial SSU rRNA". It matches the Rfam family "Bacterial small subunit ribosomal RNA", at positions 29 to 525 of the family's 1533-position model. The record is from RNAcentral.
AAUAAACGCUGGCGGCGUGCCUAACACAUGCAAGCCGAGCGAGAAAGCUCCUUCGGGAGUUAGUAAAGCGGCGAACGGGUGAGCAACACGUGAGAAUCUACCCUUUAGUGAAGAAUACCCUCGAGAAAUCGAGGCUAAUACUGCAUACGUCCCUUCGGGGAGAAAGAUGGCCUCUUUGCUAUCGCUAAAGGAUGAGCUUGCGUACUAUUAGCUAGUUGGCGGGGUAAAGGCCCACCAAGGCAAUGAUGGUUAACCGGCCUGAGAGGGUGUACGGUCACACUGGAACUUAGACACGGUCCAGACUCCUACGGGAGGCAGCAGUGAGGAAUCUUGCGCAAUGGGCGAAAGCCUGACGCAGCGACGCCGCGUGGAGGAUGACGGUUUUCGGAUUGUAAACUCCUGUUAAGCGGGAAGAAAGCCUUGUUUCUAAUACAAGCAAGGUAUGACGGUACCGCUAGAGAAAGCACCGGCUAACUUCGUGCCAGCAGCCGCGGUAAGGA